This 66-nucleotide transfer RNA is filed under the name Myleus sp. NM-2010. Its description in RNAcentral is "tRNA-Cys". It matches the Rfam family "tRNA". Rfam says of the family: Transfer RNA (tRNA) molecules are approximately 80 nucleotides in length. Their secondary structure includes four short double-helical elements and three loops (D, anti-codon, and T loops). Lineage: Eukaryota; Metazoa; Chordata; Actinopteri; Characiformes; Serrasalmidae. The record is from RNAcentral.
AGUCCCGUGGUGUAAGGCACAUUAGAUUGCAAGUCUAAAGGCGCAGGAUAACCCCUGCCGGGGCUU